CGUACACUCCUGCGGGAGGCAGCAGUGGGGAAUUUUGGACAAUGGGCGAAAGCCUGAUCCAGCCAUGCCGCGUGCAGGAUGAAGGCCUUCGGGUUGUAAACUGCUUUUGUACGGAACGAAACGGCCUUUUCUAAUAAAGAGGGCUAAUGACGGUACCGUAAGAAUAAGCACCGGCUAACUACGUGCCAGCAGCCGCGGUAAUACGUAGGGUGCAAGCGUUAAUCGGAAUUACUGGGCGAAAAGCGUGCGCAGGCGGUUAUGUAAGACAGUUGUGAAAUCCCCGGGCUCAACCUGGGAACUGCAUCUGUGACUGCAUAGCUAGAGUACGGUAGAGGGGGAUGGAAUUCCGCGUGUAGCAGUGAAAUGCGUAGAUAUGCGGAGGAACACCGAUGGCGAAGGCAAUCCCCUGGACCUGUACUGACGCUCAUGCACGAAAGCGUGGGGAGCAAACAGGAUUAGAAACCCCUGUAGUCCCAUGA
This 479-nucleotide ribosomal RNA is filed under the name uncultured organism. RNAcentral describes it as "partial 16S ribosomal RNA". It matches the Rfam family "Bacterial small subunit ribosomal RNA", at positions 330 to 800 of the family's 1533-position model. The record is from RNAcentral.